GUGCCAGCAGCCGCGGUAAGACGGAGGGUGCAAGCGUUGUUCGGAAUCAUUGGGCGUAAAGCGCGCGCAGGCGGCCGAGCAUGUCCGAUGUGAAACCCCGGGGCUUAACUCCGGAGGCGCAUCGGAAACUGUUCGGCUUGAGUCCGGGAGGGGCCUGUGGAAUUCCUGGUGUAGGGGUGAAAUCCGUAGAGAUCAGGAGGAACACCGGCGGCGAAAGCGACAGGCUGGACCGGGACUGACGCUGAGGCGCGAAAGCGCGGGUAGCGAACAGGAUUAGAUACCCGAGUAGUCC
Molecule: ribosomal RNA, 292 nt
Filed under: uncultured bacterium
Lineage: Bacteria
Description: partial 16S ribosomal RNA
Rfam family: Bacterial small subunit ribosomal RNA
Source: RNAcentral